RNAcentral lists this ribosomal RNA (572 nucleotides) under Klebsiella pneumoniae. Its description in RNAcentral is "bacterial SSU rRNA". It matches the Rfam family "Bacterial small subunit ribosomal RNA", at positions 1 to 621 of the family's 1533-position model. Lineage: Bacteria; Pseudomonadati; Pseudomonadota; Gammaproteobacteria; Enterobacterales; Enterobacteriaceae. The record is from RNAcentral.
GAACCUGAGAGUUUGAUCCUGGCUCAGAACGAACGCUGGCGGCAUGCCUAACACAUGCAAGUCGAACGAAGGCUUCGGCCUUAGUGGCGCACGGGUGAGUAACACGUGGGAACCUGCCUUAUGGUUCGGGAUAACGUCUGGAAACGGACGCUAACACCGGAUGUGCCCUUCGGGGGAAAGUUUACGCCAUGAGAGGGGCCCGCGUCCGAUUAGGUAGUUGGUGGGGUAAUGGCCCACCAAGCCGACGAUCGGUAGCUGGUCUGAGAGGAUGAUCAGCCACACUGGGACUGAGACACGGCCCAGACUCCUACGGGAGGCAGCAGUGGGGAAUAUUGGACAAUGGGGGCAACCCUGAUCCAGCAAUGCCGCGUGAGUGAUGAAGGCCUUAGGGUUGUAAAGCUCUUUCGCACGCGACGAUGAUGACGGUAGCGUGAGAAGAAGCCCCGGCUAACUUCGUGCCAGCAGCCGCGGUAAUACGAAGGGGGCGAGCGUUGUUCGGAAUUACUGGGCGUAAAGGGCGCGUAGGCGGCCUGUUUAGUCAGAAGUGAAAGCCCCGGGCUUAACCUGGGAAC